AAUCCUGCCACUAGUAGCUUGGCUAGCUCUUUUUUGAUUAGUUCUCGUCUGUCUUGAGCGAACCUGCGGUGUCGCUGCCGUUUUGGAGUAGCUUUGGGAUCAACAUUUAGAGAGUGCUCGAUCAGCUCCUUGGGCACACCGGGCAUGUCAGCUGGUUUUGAAGCGAAGAUAUCGUGGUUUGCCCGAAGGAAACUGACGAGCGCGGAUUCCU
RNAcentral lists this long non-coding RNA (211 nucleotides) under Setaria viridis. Its description in RNAcentral is "long non-coding RNA (SVIR_LNC010612)". The record is from RNAcentral. Lineage: Eukaryota; Viridiplantae; Streptophyta; Magnoliopsida; Poales; Poaceae.